RNAcentral lists this ribosomal RNA (491 nucleotides) under Tetragenococcus halophilus. RNAcentral describes it as "bacterial SSU rRNA". It matches the Rfam family "Bacterial small subunit ribosomal RNA", at positions 10 to 479 of the family's 1533-position model. The record is from RNAcentral. Lineage: Bacteria; Bacillati; Bacillota; Bacilli; Lactobacillales; Enterococcaceae.
AGUUUGAUCCUGGCUCAGGACGAACGCUGGCGGCGUGCCUAAUACAUGCAAGUCGAACGCUGCUUAAGAAGAAACUUCGGUUUUUUCUUAAGCGGAGUGGCGGACGGGUGAGUAACACGUGGGAACCUAUCCAUCAGCGGGGGAUAACACUUGGAAACAGGUGCUAAUACCGCAUAUGGCUUUUUUUCACCUGAAAGAAAGCUCAAAGGCGCUUUACAGCGUCACUGAUGGCUGGUCCCGCGGUGCAUUAGCCAGUUGGUGAGGUAACGGCUCACCAAAGCAACGAUGCAUAGCCGACCUGAGAGGGUGAUCGGCCACACUGGGACUGAGACCGGCCCAGACUCCUACGGGAGGCAGCAGUAGGGAAUCUUCGGCAAUGGACGCAAGUCUGACCGAGCAACGCCGCGUGAGUGAAGAAGGUUUUCGGAUCGUAAAGCUCUGUUGUCAGCAAAGAACAGGAGAAAGAGGAAAUGCUUUUUCCAUGACGUACC